GGAUCCAGACUUUGAUCAUGGCUCAGGACGAACGCUGGCGGCGUGCUUAACACAUGCAAGUCGAACGAUGAAGUUAUGACGGAUGCUUCGGCCGACAGAAUAAUGGAAUAGUGGCGGACGGGUGAGUAACGCGUGAGUAACCUGCCUUUCAUAGAGGAAUAACAUUUGGAAACGAAUGGUAAUACCACAUAACAUUACGUUCUCCCAUGGGGAUGUAAUCAAAGAUUUUAUCGCUGAAAGAUGGACUCGCGUCCGAUUAGCUGGAUGGUGAGGUAACGGCCCACCAUGGCGACGAUCGGUAACCGGACUGACAGGUUGAACGGCCACAUUGGGACUGAGACACGGCCCAGACUCCUACGGGAGGCAACAGUGGGGAAUAUUGCACAAUGGGGGAAACCCUGAUGCCCAGCGCCACGUGAAGGAAGACGGUCUUCGGAUUGUAAACUUUUGUUCUUGGUGAAGAAAAAUGACGGUAGCCAAGGAGGAAGCCACGGCUAACUACGUGCCAGCAGCCGCGGUAAUACGUAGGUAGCAAGCGUUGUCCGGAAUUACUGGGUGUAAAGGGAGCGCACGCGAGAAAUCGAGUUGGAUGUGAAAUGUCGGGGCUUAACCCC
Molecule: ribosomal RNA, 614 nt
Filed under: uncultured bacterium
Lineage: Bacteria
Description: bacterial SSU rRNA
Rfam family: Bacterial small subunit ribosomal RNA
Source: RNAcentral